GGAGAUAUAGCUCAGUUGGUAGAGUGCUUGCCUUGCAUGCACAAGGCCUGGGUUCAAUCCCUAGCACCACCA
This 72-nucleotide transfer RNA is filed under the name Ictidomys tridecemlineatus (thirteen-lined ground squirrel). Its description in RNAcentral is "Spermophilus tridecemlineatus (thirteen-lined ground squirrel) tRNA". It matches the Rfam family "tRNA". From Rfam's summary of the family: Transfer RNA (tRNA) molecules are approximately 80 nucleotides in length. Lineage: Eukaryota; Metazoa; Chordata; Mammalia; Rodentia; Sciuridae. The record is from Rfam by way of RNAcentral.